RNAcentral lists this microRNA (22 nucleotides) under Rattus norvegicus (Norway rat). RNAcentral describes it as "rno-miR-760-5p". Its record names the gene rno-miR-760-5p. The record is from miRBase by way of RNAcentral. Lineage: Eukaryota; Metazoa; Chordata; Mammalia; Rodentia; Muridae.
CCCCUCAGGCCACCAGAGCCCG